RNAcentral lists this ribosomal RNA (580 nucleotides) under Bicosoecidae sp. HFCC25. RNAcentral describes it as "eukaryotic LSU rRNA". It matches the Rfam family "Eukaryotic large subunit ribosomal RNA", at positions 666 to 1215 of the family's 3401-position model. The record is from RNAcentral. Lineage: Eukaryota; Bigyra; Bicosoecida.
CCAAGGAUGUCUAACACGCUGUGCGAGUGCUCGGCGGUCUAAACCCGUGCGCGAAAUGAAAGUGAGGGGUCCUGGCGCCUGCGGUGGGACGGCGAGGGGCCCAGCGAGGGCCCGCCGCCCGCACCAUCGACCGAUCAUGAUUCUCCGAUGAAAGAUUUGAGUGUGAGCACACGUGCUGGGACCCGAAAGAUGGUGAACUAUGCCUGUGCAGGGCGAAGCCAGGGGAAACCCUGGUGGAGGCUCGUAGCGAUUCUAACGUGCAAAUUGAUCGUCGGAUUUGGGUAUAGGGGCGAAAGACUAAUCGAACCAUCUAGUAGCUGGUUCCCUCCGAAAUUUCCCUCAGGAUAGCUGCAACUUGUACAGUUUUAUCAGGUAAAGCGAAUGACUAGAGGCCUCUGGGUCGAAACGACUUGGACCUAUUCUCAAACUUUAAAUGGGUAAGAGGGGGCACUCGCCCGAGCGGAGUGCCCCCGCGAAUGGAAAGUUGCUAGUGGGCCGGCGCUGGUAAGCAGCAUUGGCGAUGCGGGAUGAACCGAACGCUCGGGUUAAAGCGCCAAACUGCCCGCUCAUCAGAACCCAC